GCAGGCCAGGUGAUUGCGUAUACAAGGAGCAAUCCUGUAUAUGAGGAAAGUCCGGGCUCCACAGGGCAGGAUGCAAGCUAACGGCUUGCGGAGGCGACUUCAGGGAAAGUGCAACAGAAAUAUACCGCCCGCUAUGGCGGGUAAGGGCGAAAAGGCGAGGUAAGAGCUCACCCACCCCUAUGGUGACAUAGGGGUGCUGUAAACCCCAUCCGGAGCAACGCCUGAACAAGAGAUUAAGUUUGCCCGACGACUCUUAAAAAGGCGGCUUGAGGCGUUUGGUGACAAAUGUCCCAGAUAGAUGAUCACCCACGACAGAACCCGGCUUACGGCCUG
This 333-nucleotide RNase P RNA is filed under the name bovine gut metagenome. RNAcentral's name for it is "Bacterial RNase P class A". It matches the Rfam family "Bacterial RNase P class A". From Rfam's summary of the family: Ribonuclease P (RNase P) is a ubiquitous endoribonuclease, found in archaea, bacteria and eukarya as well as chloroplasts and mitochondria. Its best characterised activity is the generation of mature 5'-ends of tRNAs by cleaving the 5'-leader elements of precursor-tRNAs. Cellular RNase Ps are ribonucleoproteins. The record is from RNAcentral.